AUUGAACGCUGGCGGCAGGCCUAACACAUGCAAGUCGAGCGGAUGAAGGGAGCUUGCUCCUGGAUUCAGCGGCAGACGGGUGAGUAAUGCCUAUGAAUCUGCCUGGUAGUGGGGGAUAACGUCCGGAAACGGGCGCUAAUACCGCAUACGUCCUGAGGGAGAAAGUGGGGGAUCUUCGGACCUCACGCUAUCAGAUGAGCCUAGGUCGGAUUAGCUAGUUGGUAGGGUAAAGGCCUACCAAGGCGACGAUCCGUAACUGGUCUGAGAGGAUGAUCAGUCACACUGGAACUGAGACACGGUCCAGACUCCUACGGGAGGCAGCAGUGGGGAAUAUUGGACAAUGGGCGAAAGCCUGAUCCAGCCAUGCCGCGUGUGUGAAGAAGGUCUUCGGAUUGUAAAGCACUUUAAGUUGGGAGGAAGGGCAGUAAGUUAAUACCUUGCUGUUUUGACGUUACCAACAGAAUAAGCACCGGCUAACUUCGUG
Molecule: ribosomal RNA, 484 nt
Filed under: uncultured bacterium
Lineage: Bacteria
Description: partial 16S ribosomal RNA
Rfam family: Bacterial small subunit ribosomal RNA
Source: RNAcentral